Molecule: ribosomal RNA, 440 nt
Filed under: uncultured bacterium
Lineage: Bacteria
Description: partial 16S ribosomal RNA
Rfam family: Bacterial small subunit ribosomal RNA
Source: RNAcentral
CCUACGGGUGGCAGCAGUAGGGAAUCUUGCUCAAUGGGGGAAACCCUGACGCAGCAACGCCGCGUGGGGGAUGAAGGUUUUCGGAUUGUAAACUCCUUUUGUUAGAGAAGAUCAUGACGGUAUCUAACGAAUAAGCACCGUCUAACUCCGUGCCAGCAGCCGCGGGAAUACGGAGGGUGCAAGCGUUACUCGGAAUCACUGGGCGUAAAGAGCGCGUAGGCGGGAUAGCAAGUUAGCUGUGAAAUCCUAUGGCUUAAACAUAGAUAUGCAUUUGAAACUGUUAUUCUAGAGUAUGGGAGGGGUAGGUGGAAUUCUUGGUGUAGGGGUAAAAUCCGUAGAGAUCAAGAGGAAUACUCAUUGCGAAGGCGACCUGCUAGAACGUAACUGACGCUGAUGCGCGAAAGCGUGGGGAGCAAACAGGAUUAGAUACCCGGGUAGUC